RNAcentral lists this ribosomal RNA (253 nucleotides) under uncultured bacterium. RNAcentral's name for it is "partial 16S ribosomal RNA". It matches the Rfam family "Bacterial small subunit ribosomal RNA", at positions 524 to 776 of the family's 1533-position model. The record is from RNAcentral.
UACAGAGGGUGCAAACGUUGUUCGGAAUUACUGGGCGUAAAGCGCGUGUAGGCGGCAGCGUGUGUCGGGCGUGAAAUCCCACGGCUCAACCGUGGAAGUGCACUCGAAACUGCGCAGCUAGAGUCCUGGAGAGGAAGGUGGAAUGCUUGGUGUAGAGGUGAAAUUCGUAGAUAUCAAGCGGAACACCGGUGGCGAAGGCGGCCUUCUGGACAGUGACUGACGCUGAGACGCGAAAGCGUGGGGAGCAAACAGG